AGCGAACGCUGGCGGCAGGCUUAACACAUGCGAGUCGAGCGGGCACUUUCGGGUGUCCGCGGCGGACGGGUGAGUAACGCGUGGGAACGUGCCCUCUGGUUCGGAAUAACUCAGGGAAACUUGAGCUAAUACCGGAUACGCCCUUUUGGGGAAAGGCUUGCUGCCGGAGGAUCGGCCCGCGUCUGAUUAGCUAGUUGGUGAGGUAACGGCUCACCAAGGCGACGAUCAGUAGCUGGUCUGAGAGGAUGAUCAGCCACACUGGGACUGAGACACGGCCCAGACUCCUACGGGAGGCAGCAGUGGGGAAUAUUGGACAAUGGGCGCAAGCCUGAUCCAGCCAUGCCGCGUGAGUGAUGAAGGCCCUAGGGUUGUAAAGCUCUUUUAUCCGGGACGAUAAUGACGGUACCGGAGGAAUAAGCCCCGGCUAACUUCGUG
RNAcentral lists this ribosomal RNA (435 nucleotides) under uncultured bacterium. RNAcentral describes it as "partial 16S ribosomal RNA". It matches the Rfam family "Bacterial small subunit ribosomal RNA", at positions 29 to 507 of the family's 1533-position model. The record is from RNAcentral.